GGCCAUAAGGGAGCCUCGUGUUGUUCAGAAAGACAACCAAGGUUGGCAUCUUUUUAAUUCUUAUCGUUGGUGCAAGUAAGGUCAGAAGGAUGCUAAGGGAAAUACAAAUCCAAGGCAAGCAUGUGGAAAGCGCGUCAUAUGAUGUGAAAUCUGUUAUCAUGAAAAAGAGGGAAGGGCACAACCAUGAAGUUCGAGCAGC
Lolium rigidum is the source of this 199-nucleotide long non-coding RNA. RefSeq lists it as uncharacterized. The transcript is spliced from 2 exons. The record is from RefSeq and is a predicted model, not a curated record. NCBI's taxonomy places the organism in Eukaryota, Viridiplantae, Streptophyta, Magnoliopsida, Poales, Poaceae.